AACUUUUGACAACGGAUUUCUUGGUUCUGGCAUCGAUGAAGAACGCAGCGAAAUGCGAUAAGUAAUGUGAAUUGCAGAAUUCAGUGAAUCAUCGAAUCUUUGAACGCACAUUGCGCCCUGUGGUAUUCCGCAGGGCAUGCCUGUUCGAGCGUCAUUUAACCACUCACGCCUAGCGUGGUAUUGGGGCACGCGGUCUCGCGGCCCUCAAAAUUAGUGGCGGCGCCGGUGGGCUCUAAGCGUAGUACAUACUCCCGCUAUAGAGUUCCCCCGGUGGCUCGCCAGAACCCCCAAUUUUUUACAGGUUGACCUCGGAUCAGGUAGGGAUACCCGCUGAACUUAAGCAUAUCAAUAAGCGGAGGCU
RNAcentral lists this unclassified non-coding RNA (361 nucleotides) under uncultured Phialocephala. RNAcentral's name for it is "sequence contains ITS2". The stretch from base 1 to 154 matches the Rfam family "5.8S ribosomal RNA". The record is from RNAcentral. Lineage: Eukaryota; Fungi; Ascomycota; Leotiomycetes; Helotiales.